CCUACUCUGUCGCCAGCCUGUUCGUCACGGUAAAAAGAAAGAAGCACAGUAAAAACCAGCCCAGCCUCUGGCUCUCCAUCUCUCACCUCGCACCCCCUCCCCCUCCCCUCCACUUUGACCCAGCACGAGCAGAACCCGGAAGCGAAGCCAGAGCCAGAGCGCAUACCGCAUAGCCUGCGCGCUCCGACGCCGUCCCCUAUAUAAACACCGCCACUAUUCUCCCCGCCCCC
Molecule: long non-coding RNA, 230 nt
Filed under: Hordeum vulgare
Lineage: Eukaryota; Viridiplantae; Streptophyta; Magnoliopsida; Poales; Poaceae
Description: long non-coding RNA (HVUL_LNC020082)
Source: RNAcentral